GCCACCUUAGCUCAGUCGGUAGAGCAAUGCCUUCGUAAGGCAGAGGUCCCGAGUUCGAAUCUCGGAGGUGGCU
Molecule: transfer RNA, 73 nt
Filed under: Patescibacteria group bacterium
Lineage: Bacteria
Description: tRNA-Thr
Rfam family: tRNA
About the family: Transfer RNA (tRNA) molecules are approximately 80 nucleotides in length.
Source: RNAcentral